UACGUAGGUGGCAAGCGUUAUCCGGAAUUAUUUGGCGUAAAGCGCGCGCAGGCGGUUUCUUAAGUCUGAUGUGAAAGCCCACGGCUCAACCGUGGAGGGUCAUUGGAAACUGGGAAACUUGAGUGCAGAAGAGAAGAGUGGAAUUCCACGUGUAGCGGUGAAAUGCGUAGAGAUGUGGAGGAACACCAGUGGCGAAGGCGACUCUUUGGUCUGUAACUGACGCUGAGGCGCGAAAGCGUGGGGAGCAAACAGG
This 253-nucleotide ribosomal RNA is filed under the name uncultured bacterium. Its description in RNAcentral is "partial 16S ribosomal RNA". It matches the Rfam family "Bacterial small subunit ribosomal RNA", at positions 524 to 776 of the family's 1533-position model. The record is from RNAcentral.